This 305-nucleotide ribosomal RNA is filed under the name uncultured bacterium. RNAcentral's name for it is "bacterial SSU rRNA". It matches the Rfam family "Bacterial small subunit ribosomal RNA", at positions 338 to 636 of the family's 1533-position model. The record is from RNAcentral.
CCUACGGGGGGCAGCAGUAGGGAAUUUUCGUCAAUGGGGGGAACCCUGAACGAGCAAUGCCGCGUGAGUGAAGAAGGCCUUCGGGUCGUAAAGCUCUGUUGUAAGAGAAAAACGGUAAUGAUAGGGAAUGAUCAUUAAGUGAUGGUAUCUUACGAGGAAGCCACGGCUAACUACGUGCCAGCAGCCGCGGUAAUACGUAGGUGGCAAGCGUUAUCCGGAUUUAUUGGGUUUAAAGGGUGCGUAGGCGGGCUUUUAAGUCAGCGGUAAAAAUUCGGGGCUCAACCCCGUCCGGGCGUUGGAACUGG